Molecule: long non-coding RNA, 652 nt
Filed under: Rattus norvegicus (Norway rat)
Lineage: Eukaryota; Metazoa; Chordata; Mammalia; Rodentia; Muridae
Description: long non-coding RNA NONRATT016978
Source: RNAcentral
AGCACGAAUGGUCCCAGAGUUCAGAAACAGCACUGCUGCUGGCUGCUGGUCACACACAAGCCUUGUGUGAAAGAUGACGUGAUGGCAGCUCUGAAGGGUGCAACCAGCGAUGCUGUGUUGAAGUUUGAACCAUUUAUCCUCCAUGUGCAGUGCCGGACACUGCAGGACGCACAAACCCUGGUUCUAUAACUGCCUACAACAUGCUGUCAAAAGAGAAACAAUUUCAAACUCACGCUCCGAGAUCAAAGAAAAAAAUAACCCACUCUGUACUCCUAAGAAUCAGAGGAAGCAAGGAAAAGCAUGUGACCCAUCUACGACUGAAGAUGAUGGCGGGGAGCAGCUCGAAGGCAGCGAUGGCUGGGGAAUCGGUGCUGUCCUCUUCCUGGGCGAUGACUAAGACUUGGCGGGAAUCGACUCUGGUUCACAUGCUGCUCUUCACAAGAGCGUCAGGAUUCACUGAGGGCACCCGACCCCUCAGGAGGCUGGAGUUAAUCUCUCUAUUGUAGAGAAACUUAAGUGUAAAUGGCUUUUCAAAGUAGCUUUGUAUAUGUUUGCUCUCUGAAGUCUGCUUUUUAAGCAUAUUAGGAUUCACUCUACAAAUAAACCUAAAACUUCCUGUGUCUGUUUAUGUCAAAUAGGAAAAACAAGAUAA